GAAGCUAGAUACACAAAGGUGAACAUGCCGCUAGACUUAUCAAGUAUUGAAACUGGUCUGAAGCAAUCAAUAAAAAAUUUGAAUAAUACUGUCACUCAGACAAAGCAGAUGAUUGAGAACAUAGCCACAACUGAGGCAAGUUUAGAUGUGAAAAUAGAGAAGCGACAGGUAGAUUUAGAACGCAAUAAAAAAGACUGGAGUCCUUAAAAAAAGUUAGACCAUCAUUUUUGGAAGAAUACGAAAAACUUGAGAAGGAUUUCAAAGAACUGUAUGAAGCUUAUGUUGUGAGAUACAGAUGUGUAGCUUAUUUAGAGCAACAACUUGAGGAAUUUGAGCAGGCCACACAGUCUAGGAUUGAUGCUAAACACGAGGAAACAAGGAAACUCGUUGAAAAAAUGCGUCAGGAAGCAGCUGCAAAACUUUUUGAUGGAACAAUUGAAGAUGAAGGGCAGGCCGCUAAUGGAGCACAAACUGCCGGCACAGGUUCCAGAAUGGUCGGUGGAAAACGAAGAGUAUUUGGAAGCAUGACAGGCGGAGGUGAUGACUUGGGCAGCUCUGAUUCUGACUCUGAUUUGUUUUUUGAUGAUGAUGAUAAUGACGAUGAUGAUGAUGAAGACGAUGAUGAUGAUGACGAUGAUGAAGAUGAUGAUGAUGAUGGCAGACAUGAUGAGGAUCGUGACAAGAGUGCAGACAGAGGAGACGGAGAUUAUUAACCUGAUGAUCCUGGAAUUUUCCAUAAUUGUUGUUAGUCUGAUAAAGGGUAGCCCAUGGCUGAAACAUUUCGACGGUGAAACUACCAAACCACGUAUCUCGUUUGCGGUGUUUAAAAAUCUACGCUCACAUUUUAUUUUUUGAAGUAGACCAAAUCAAUAUCAUUCCUUGAAAUUUUCACAGAAUUUUUUCCGCACGAAGAGGAAAAAUCACAGAAAUUUUCAAGACUGGACGUUAAGUAGUUUUUCAGUUAAAAAAUAAACUAUGACAGGAAGUCUGCGACGUCGCAAACCGAGAUACGUGGUUUGGUAGUUUCACCGUCGAUUUUCUUUCAGUCAUGAUUGUUUUGUCAUUAAACAUUUCAAAUGAAGAGAUUUUUUUUUCUGUUGUCUCAAAUUGUCCUCAAGUAUGACCCUCCUCUUGAAUUCUGGCCUUCAAAUUCUUCUUUUUUAUGUAACUAUCUUUAUGAACAUAAACUACUUAAGUUAAACAAAUUAUUGGUUUUUUAAAUUAAUAAAGUCUUAGCUAGAAGAUAAAAUUAAGUAAUUUGUCAAGUUAAAAUUGAAAUUUAUCAAUCUAGCCUUUGAGACAAAUAAUUAAACUAAAGUACCUAUAUUAAUUAAACUAAAUUUUCUUCGCUCCCUAGUUGUGUUUCUAUCUUUCAUUUAUGCUUUCAUUUCCUUUUAUUAAUGCCAAACAAAUCAACGCUAUUGCUUCAAAUUUUCCUAGACUAUGCUUCACACAAAGAAGAGAGAUUAGGGAAAUUUUCAAGGAAUGACAUUGUAUAUUUUUCCAUUUGAAAAAUAAAUUAA
Molecule: long non-coding RNA, 1523 nt
Filed under: Bemisia tabaci
Lineage: Eukaryota; Metazoa; Arthropoda; Insecta; Hemiptera; Aleyrodidae
Description: lncRNA ENSSSA2NGG006433
Source: RNAcentral